This 86-nucleotide transfer RNA is filed under the name Shewanella piezotolerans WP3. RNAcentral describes it as "tRNA-Leu". Lineage: Bacteria; Pseudomonadati; Pseudomonadota; Gammaproteobacteria; Alteromonadales; Shewanellaceae. The record is from RNAcentral.
GUAAUCUUUUCUCAUUCUCUACAAGUUCAUUUACAGAUUCUUGUAAAAUAAGUAAUCGACGUAAAUUAAAAUCAAGAGAGUCAAUG